This 682-nucleotide long non-coding RNA is filed under the name Brachypodium distachyon (stiff brome). RNAcentral's name for it is "long non-coding RNA (BDIS_LNC000921)". Lineage: Eukaryota; Viridiplantae; Streptophyta; Magnoliopsida; Poales; Poaceae. The record is from RNAcentral.
GGAAGGCUCCGCUCCUAUUUUUUUCGUUCUCCAUGAGCCUUUUUUUUUCAUGCACCUGUCAAUAGCCCUCCGAGAUUCAAAGGGAAUAUACUCAAGUGAAAGAAUUAACAUAUAACCCGUACCAUUGUGCUGUAUAACUGCUUUUCCAGAACUAACAUCAAGGGUGUCAUGAGAUUGUGCUUGCGGCAAUAUACCGUUCAUCAAAGCACGGAACGCAGUGGCUCUAGGGGUACAUCGCUACCUGGCAAAGGUAAUUGCUAUGCGACCACUGCCUCAUUGCUAGACUCUCAUCGAUGAAAUGCAUAUUGUCUACUCGUGCGUGUAACACAAAUGCAAUCUAUCGCCGUAAAAACGUACAUUUAUGAACCAGGCCGUGUUACUUUUCGAUUGACUUUAGAGCCCAUGUAUUCUGGUUUCGCCAGUACCACUUUACACUCCGCUCACUGCAGCAGUAAUUUAUACUUGGUUGCUUACUCGCGAUGAGUUGCAUGCGGUAGGUUACGUGUCAGCUCAGAAUAUGUGUUAGCUGUCGCACGAGGUGUAACACGUGUCAUCUCAUUGCUUGUACUGACCUGUAUAUAAAUGUGUGUGCGUGUUCGAUUGUGAUAUCACCCUCUCCCUACUCACGGCCGUCGUCCUUAAGUAGACACCUCAUUGCUAGACUCUCAUCGAUGAAAUGCAU